UCUGGCCUCAAAUCAGGUAGGACUACCCGCUGAACUUAAGCAUAUCAAUAAGCGGGA
RNAcentral lists this ribosomal RNA (57 nucleotides) under uncultured soil eukaryote. RNAcentral describes it as "partial 28S ribosomal RNA". The record is from RNAcentral.